AUCUUUGGGAGUCAGGAGAGGGCAGCUGCCUUUCCGUUCUGCCAGGCUCUGUAAGUGGCUCACUCUGUGGCUUAAAGGACCAGGAGAGCAGGGAGCUUGGCAUCACCACAACUCAGUCAAAGGUCAUUUGCCACAGCGACCAGCACAGGAAGCAGAAAGAAUAUUUACCAGCAGUGAGGUGAAAAGAAGAAAGUCGGGACCAUCGAACUUAUGAUGACAAGUCCAAGAGAGGCUGGAUCCAGAUGAAGCCCGAGCUGUAAGGUUGAGAAGCUUGAACGGCCACUGCUGGGUCCUAAGGGAGAACAGACCACAGACCAUUUGGGCCUAACCUGGGGACCAGAAAGGACCGGGUGACAAGACGUGGAGCCAGGGGCUCGCUCUCCUCUCAAGAUCGCCCUCCCCCCAGUACCAGAUCAACUCACCACUGCACGGGCUGCCAGUUAGGCAGAAAAGGCCGGAAGCCAGUAAUGCACUCAAAGGCCAGGGUGCCAAAGCUCCAGUAGUCCACAGUCACGGUGUACUUCUGCUGCUCCAGCAGCUCUGGAGCCUGAAACACACAGGGGGGCUGCCUACGCUGCCCUCUUUCUGGCUGGAAGAGCUACCAGCUCAGAGAACCAGCUCCCUGCCUUCACCACCAGGGCAGAGUAUGUCCACUCAAGAGUGAGAUGAACCUGAACAGAUUCAGCUGUGGUUCCUGCCUCCAGGUUCCUGUCUUGACUCCCUGGAUAAUAGACCGUGACGUGGAAGUGUAAGAUGAAGUAAACUUUCCUCCCCAUUGCUUUCGGUCAGUGUUUUACUCAAGCGAUAGAAACCUACCUGGGACACAUGGCCAGCACCUCACCAACUGAACCAUCUCUCCAGUUACUAUGACAGGCAGCUUCAUUAAAACAAUUUAGGUGUA
This is a long non-coding RNA of Peromyscus eremicus (cactus mouse), 901 nucleotides long. RefSeq lists it as uncharacterized. Lineage: Eukaryota; Metazoa; Chordata; Mammalia; Rodentia; Cricetidae. The record is from RefSeq and is a predicted model, not a curated record. The transcript is spliced from 3 exons.